This 428-nucleotide unclassified non-coding RNA is filed under the name uncultured bacterium. Its description in RNAcentral is "partial contains 16S ribosomal RNA, 16S-23S ribosomal RNA intergenic spacer, and 23S ribosomal RNA". The record is from RNAcentral.
GUCGUAACAAGGUAGCCGUAUCGGAAGGUGCGGCUGGAUCACCUCCUUUCAGAGCUUAAGUGCUCGUGUUAAGCGUCCACUCUUAUCGGUUGUUUUUUGUAGCUGGGGUCAAGAAUGCUUGGCCCCGCGUAGAAGCUAACUCAUAGCGCUGCUUGCAGCGUUAUGAGUUGGGUUUUACUCAACAGCUAUAUCGUUCUUUAACAAUCUGGAAGAAGCACAACGAAAUGUACUUAUCAAGUACUCGGCGCAAGUCGAAGAAGAUAGGUACGGGUUGUGAUUGCAUUAUUUUGUUCCAAGUUCUCAAGACUGGGGUGAAUAACCUCAGACUGCUUUGAAACUUAUGAACGGCACAAACGCUAAUACUCAGGUCCUAUAGCCUACAGCGUUAUAGGAUCAAGCGACUAAGUGCAUAUGGUGGAUGCCUUGGC